Microcebus murinus (gray mouse lemur) is the source of this 5285-nucleotide non-coding RNA. The record is from RefSeq and is a predicted model, not a curated record. NCBI's taxonomy places the organism in Eukaryota, Metazoa, Chordata, Mammalia, Primates, Cheirogaleidae.
GGACAGCGGGCAGGCAUCGUCCUGCGGACAGAGCUCGUGGGCUGCCGCCCGACAGUGCGGCGACUCAGCUGGGCGGCCCAGUCCACAGACCCAUGAAAAUGCAAUGAGGCUUUCAGCUGGAGAGGAAGCGUGCCUGGGUCAGACAGCAAGGAGCAGCUCGGAACGCACUGCAAGCCGCCUGCAAAGCGCCUCUUGUGUUACCGUGGAGGCUUCCUCCAGCAUCCGAUGGUAUCGCCAGAAUAAGUCUUUAUGCAAAUAGACGGUUCCCUGAGGCUCUGGCCGGGGCCUCCAGGAAAGAGGACGUGUGUGGGGAGGGGGUGAGCUCAUCCACAUUCACACCACGUUUCCCUUACAUGUAUGUACAGCCCAUCCCAUUCAAACUCCAUCACAUGUGCACAGCUUAUUACAUACGCAAAUCCCAUCACAUGUGCACAGCUCAUCACAUGUGCAAAUCCCAUCACAUGUGCACAGCUUAUUACAUAUGCAAAUCCCAUCACAUAUGCACAGCUCAUCACAUGUGCAAAUCCCAUCACAUGUGCACAGCUUAUUACAUAUGCAAAUCCUAUCACAUAUGCACAGCUCAUCACAUGUGCAAAUCCCAUCACGUGUGCACAGCUUAUUACAUAUGCAAAUCCUAUCACAUGUGCACAGCUCAUCACAUGUGCAAAUCCCAUCACAUGUGCACAGCUCAUCACAUAUGCACAGCUCAUAACAGGUGCUUAGCGUGUGUGCACCACUCAGCCCCCUCUGCUGUGCAGCAGGAAGGACUACGGCAGGUGCUUGCCUCAGUGUUACCUUGGAGGACAUGUUUGGGGGGCUCCUCUGUGUGUCCCCCCACGAGAGCCCGGCAUCUGACCUGCACUCGGAGCAGGAGCAGUGUGGGAGAGGCGCAGUCACCACUCACUAAGUGCGUGUGACACUGAACUCACUUCAGACACAGAGUUAGAUCAGCUGGGCCGGGACUGGGCUACGUUUUUGAGCCUCACCGUGGCUGUGGGGCAGAGGGGCAGCGUCCGUGCAGAGACUGCACAUUUUUAUCUCCAAGAUUUGUAAUGAAUUCUUGCACAUCCACUUCUUCUUGUUUUAUUUCUGCCUGUUCUGUUUCAGAAUUCCUUGCUGUGCCUUGAUUUACUUAUUUGACACUUACUCACUCCCAGUGUCCCGCUGGAGCUGGGACCUGCCCUUGUCAGCAGCUCCCCGUGGGAGAGCCGAGGGCGGCAGGCGGGGCCUCUGUGUGGCCACCACGGCGACUGCGCCACCGGGGCCUCCCUCCCAUCCGCGUGCUCACCGCCCUGCAUUCCCCCAAAGCUCCGUCACCGCGUGACGCUCCGUCCAUUCCCGUGCCCUGCAGGAAGGAAUAAUGCUGCCAGUUAGACCGUCGUGUCAUUUGCGGAAAGACGUGUCUGGAUUUCAGAGACGUUGAAACAUGAAAAACUACAGCCGAGAUCACAGGAUUUUGAGGUGCCUGUCGGACGGCUCUCUGAAAUCCGUGUCCCGAUGGGUGGUGCGUGUGCUGUCUUUGCCUUUCUGUAAAGAGAACCUCAUCACGUCACCGUUUAUCACCUGUGCACUCCUGCCAGCCCAGGUCCCUUCACGCCUUUUUGUGCUCCGAGGGGCAGGGGCUGCCAUGCCGUUCCGUGGCACCGGCUGUGGGAGAUGGCGCGUCACCCCCGGAGGGUCACAUGGGGGUAAGGACGGGCUGGGUCCUCUUUUUCUUGUUGCAUUUCCUCUCCUCGUUUGGAAGGUAGACACUGCAUGUCUAUUGCUAGCAGGUGCCCUAGAUAUUUUAACACAUAUACUAUUCGUCUAACUCUGGAGUUGGUCAACGCUCCUCUCCUUCCUUUCAACAACCGUGGACCGUCCAGUGCGGAAAUUCUGAUCACCCUUCUCAACCUCACGCCUCUGGCCAGCAAUCCCCCCCCCACCCCACCCGCCACCCCCACGGAGUAGGUGCUGGUUUCAUGGUCCAUGUUUGCUUUGAUGGCCACGUGUUUCCCACCAUCUUUACUCAUCUUCUCUCACCACAGACCUGCCACCUGAGGUCCUUCCCGUCCGCCUAAAUUGGGUCUUAUAGAGUUUCCUUUGCUGAGGGUCUAUUGGCAUGUGGUAGGCUGUAAAAAUGGCCAUAAAUUCUCCCUGUAACAAAUCUAUUUCUCCACUGCAUAAUGCUGCUUGCUUGGUGGAGCUCUGUCUCCUGCUCUGCUUUGGACCCUGGGACCACCCUGCGGGGUGAGAGCCCCCAAAGAGGAGAGUUGGGGUGCCCCAGCCAGCAGCCUGCCAGCCGGCAGACGAGGGAGUGAGGCCAUGCUGGGUGGCCCCGUGCCGACCAACCACCAGCCGAGACUUCUAGAACUGGGAUAGAAUUCCAGGUUGAAAGUUAUUUGUCUCAGAACUUUGAAGACGUUCAACUGUCUUAACUUCUACUCUGCACCUGGGACGUCACCCGGUCAGUAUCUUUCUUUGCAGCCGUGUGUUUGUAGCAGAGGAGAUGAUGAAAGUGUCUGUCCCUUCCUGGCCACAGCUCAGGAGGCGGCUUUGAAGCCCGUGCUUUGAUAGCGAUUGUUUUGCGGGCAGAAUGAGCUCCCAGGGAAGAGGCCGCGUGCUGCCCUCACGUGGGCGCGUCUCUCCCGGAAGAGACAUCACGCAGCCGAUAAGGACGCCAGCUUUGCAGUCUCCGUGCAAGUCCUCGACUGCCACCUCCGGCAGAUGACCUGCGCUGGGCCCUCAUCCCCCACCUGUAAAAUUCUGCGAAGCCACUGAGUCUGCGUGUGUUUCCCGAGCAUGUCUGUGUGCCGGGCCCUGGCGUGGCGGCAGGAGGACACCCCACGCCCGCUCCCCAGACCCCGAAACACGCGGGUGACACCACAGAGGGAGCCGCAGUGGCUCAUCGGUGACCGUGAUGUGGGGGGUUCUCCUGGGGUCUCGGCGGACCUGAGGCUGUGGCCGGGGUCCGCACCCAGGAGGAAGAGCAGGAGGUUGUCAGCGAGAUGCCGCCGUGGGCGCUGCGCAUGGGGUCGGGGCGCGGCCCAGGGAUGCAGGUGUCUCUGGAAACUGGGAAGGGCGGGGAAAGGACACCCCCCGCCCCCAGCCUCAGAAAGGAACAGCUCUGCCCACACCUUGGCUUUUAUUUAACCCAGUGACUUCUGACUGCCGGGACUGAAAGCCAGUAAAUUUGAGCUAUUUAAAACCAUCGCGUUCGUGGUAAAUUGUCACAGCAGCUGCAAGAAGCUAGCACGGUCAUCAACGGUGAGGCACCGCACAGUGUGACCCGGCGGCAGGGUGCAGAGGGGGAGUGAGGACUCUGUUUUCUCUCUGCCUCCGGGCUGGCCGGUGGGGGCUGGGACCCGGUUCUUUGGGGCUCACUCUCACUGUGGAAGCUCCCGGCACGGCCCCCAGAAAGCUGGGAGGCUUAAGGGCAGCAGCGUGCCCACGUGGCGGGGAGGAAACUGAGCUCUGAGCCGUGCCCUGCGUAAGGGCCUCGACCAGGCUGACCGGCCAAGGGCCGCCCUCUGGCAGCCUCCGGGCUCCUGGCCCAGCCGCCAGCCACGCAGCCACUGCUAAGAGGACCAUGGAUGCCAGUCCGCACGCAGAGCGCAUUGACGGGCACCUGCAGGGAGCACUUCGGAUCCACUCACAUUACAGAAACAUCCUCGGCCCCUUUUCAUCAUGCGAGACUGCGCUCCGGGGCUUUCUGGCUGCGAGAUCACAGCUCUUUUCGAGGAGAAUUAUCAGGAGCUGUUUGCUUCAGCCACAUUCGACAGGGCAGCUGCCGCCCAGGGCCCUGCGGCUUCCAGGAUGUCGACUGAGGAUUUCAGUUUCCUUCUUACAUUGAGGGGCGGGAGCUGCGUGUCCCUCCCCGGGAGAGAGACAGUGGCCUAAGACGUCCCUGCAGGUUAGACAGGGCGGGCCACUGCCGAGGGACGCCGGGCAAGUCCUGCCUUGGGCAGCGAGGGCCGGCGCCGCCUGCUGGGCUCCUGCGGCCCGGCCUCCUCCUUCCUGGAUGGGCCCGCCGGGGGCCGCCCUGACUUGGGCCCCAGCCGGCUCCUCCCUGUGAAAUGCAAAGACAGCCCCACGCUUGCUCCUUUUAUUUUAUUGCCCCGUGCUUCCUCUUCAUCCCCGAGGUGUAGCAGUGGGCAGGCCAGAGGUGUAGCAGCGGGCAGGCCACCGUCUCGCUUCCCACCCUGCGGGCCGGUCCCUCUCAGCUCCCCCGAGCCUAGGCUGAGCCACAAGCAGCUUCGGGUCCCUCUGUGCUCUGCGGAGGGGCAGGUGCUGGGGAGCAGGUGAGGACAGAGCCACCCCGCUUGCCUGGCCUGCCUGGAGAACCACAUCUGCUCUGCGGGCUCGUGGAGCUCGCUGGGCGCACAGCCUGGGGACAUCAUGGAGCUGAGCGCCCACCCAGCCCAGCCAGUGGAUGGGGUCCCCGGGGCUCUGGGAGGGACCCUCUCCAAGGCUGGGUGGCGAGAACUGUAGGUUCUUCCCUGGGUUUUCCUGCGUGGCCUCCCCCAGGGUCGGCUUCUGCUUCCACAGCUCCUUCCUGCAACCUUGCUCUAAGACUAGCCUCCCUGCUCCGUUCCGCCGCCCCUGGUGCGGGGGUGGGGGUGGGGCUGCCCCACCCACCUCUAACCACUGCACCCUCCGCUCCUUGGCGGUGCAGACCAGCCAGACUGGCUUAGGUCAAAUUAAAACAGUGCACUGGCUGCUCAUUGAAUUAGAAAAUGCAUCAAUGGCUCUCUUAGGGUCAGGAAAAGGAGCCAUGCUCAUAAGAGUCCGUUAUAUAUAGCACUUGCACUGCGCUACCUAAUUUAAAAAACAUUUCAUAUAUUUGGUGCUGCCGUAAAAUAAAUUAGCAUGCAUACUUGUAAGAAGUUUUCACUGAUUCCAGAACAAUUUUGCAUUAAGUGAAAUACCACUCGAACAUCCCGAUGUGUGAUAAAGUUAAGGGGAACAUGAGAUUCAGAUUUUGUUGGAUUUUAUUCUAAAUUUAGAGCACUCAGUUUUAAACUUUGCAUCUGAAGCUGUGACAGAGCUGGCAGCGGCCCGUGUCGUCCGGGCCAUCCUCAGGCUGCAUCUUUGGCGAGAGGCGGGAGCAUUUCCCGAGACGAUGCCCCGCGGGUGGCACCCUGGGCCCCCUGCCUGCCCACUGCGCAGCUGCCCAGGCCUGCGUGGGCCCAGGAGUACCUUACUGCCAUCCGGGGGCGUGGGUGUUCGUGGGCAAUUUUUAAAAAAGCUCCAACUCAUAAAUGCUCCUACAAAUAUAAAGUAAAAUAAGCCAAAGGUUUUCUUUC